Pristis pectinata (smalltooth sawfish) is the source of this 650-nucleotide long non-coding RNA. RefSeq lists it as uncharacterized. The transcript has 3 exons. Lineage: Eukaryota; Metazoa; Chordata; Chondrichthyes; Rhinopristiformes; Pristidae. The record is from RefSeq and is a predicted model, not a curated record.
UAAGAUUGUUUAGAAUUCUUUUCUCAUAGUGGAAUCAGGAGACGCACAUGGUCACUGGCUCUCUAGUUUUAUUUCAAGCUUCAAAUAUUUGCAAUUCUUUAUUUUUCUUUGCCAGACUUUUGGCUUUGAUUCACUUCAUUAUUUGUUCUAUUUGUAUUCUUUACUGAGACUGAAAGCAUUACACUUCCAUUUGCUGCUUUCAGUUUACAUUUCCAUGAAAUGUACAAGGUCAAGUUAAUUAAUACACGGACAAGCUUCACACAGGAUAGGGAAAUCGAGAGUGAAGCUAUUUGGCCAAAAGGAUCCAUUCUGAUGAGCAAACCAGAAUGAUAUGCUACAGGAAAUACACUGGCAUUGCAUUAUGAUGCAGGGUUUUGCUACCACCCUAAUCUUGGAGGCAAAUAAGUGAUCUGGACUUAGAAAUAACCUUCAAAGGCUCUUAUGGAGUGAAAGUUAUAAUUUAAGUGGUAACCAAUCAACAUGUGUCUUAUUGAAAUAAUUAUGAAAAAGCUUAUGUUGGAGCAGUGAAAUUGAAGUUACUGAAAAAAGGUGGAUUUGUGGCGUGGGAAGAGAAGAUUUUGAUAAAAUGUGGAGUUAUGGAAUUUGCAUCAGAACUGAAGCCUCAUCCAGAUUUGGGGUAACGAGGGAGA